AACUUUUGACAAUGGAUCACUUGGCUCUCCCAUCGAUGAAGAACGCAGCGAAAUGCGAUAAGUAAUGUGAAUUACAGAAUACAGUGAAUUAUCGAUUCUUUGAACUCACUUUGCGCCCUUUGGUAUACCGAAGGGCAUGCCUGUUUGAGUGUCAUUAAAUUCUCAUCCUUGCAAGCGUUUUUGCUUGUGAGGCUUGGAUGUGAGGGUUUUUGCUGGCUUCCUUUUAAAUUGGAUGGUCUGCUCCCUUUAAAUUCAUUAGUGGGAUCCUUUGUGGAUGGUCACUUGGUGUGAUAAUUAUCUACGCCGCCUGACUCUGAAACAAGACUUGUGGGAACCUGCUUAUAACUGUCUCUUUUGGAGACUAACUUUGACAAUUUGACCUCAAAUCAGGUAGGACUACCCGCUGAACUUAAGCAUAUCAAUAAGCGGAGGCU
This 434-nucleotide unclassified non-coding RNA is filed under the name uncultured Mycena. RNAcentral describes it as "sequence contains ITS2". The stretch from base 1 to 154 matches the Rfam family "5.8S ribosomal RNA". The record is from RNAcentral. Lineage: Eukaryota; Fungi; Basidiomycota; Agaricomycetes; Agaricales; Tricholomataceae.